GACAACCUCCAGUUCGGAUUGAAGGCUGAAAUUCGCCUUCAUGAAGCUGGAAUUGCUAGUAAUGGCAGGUCAGCAUACUGCCGUGAAUACGUUCCCGGGCCCUUGUACACACCGCCCGUCACACCAUGAGAGUUGGGAAUACCCGAAGCCUGUGAGCUAACUUAUAGAGGCAGCAGUCGAAGGUAGAAUCAAUGAUUGGGGUGAAGUCGUAACAAGGUAAC
Molecule: ribosomal RNA, 221 nt
Filed under: uncultured bacterium
Lineage: Bacteria
Description: partial 16S ribosomal RNA
Rfam family: Bacterial small subunit ribosomal RNA
Source: RNAcentral